This 100-nucleotide ribosomal RNA is filed under the name Campylobacter coli. Lineage: Bacteria; Pseudomonadati; Campylobacterota; Epsilonproteobacteria; Campylobacterales; Campylobacteraceae. RNAcentral also lists the same sequence under 1 other name. The record is from RNAcentral.
UUUGGUGGCGAUAGCGAAGAGGUCACACCCGUUCCCAUACCGAACACGGAAGUUAAGCUCUUCAGCGCCGAUGGUAGUCGGGGGUUUCCCCCUGUGAGAG